GCUUGCUUCCUUCCUUCCCUUUCCCCCCACCCCUUCUUCUUCUUUCCUGCCUUCUCCCUCUCUCUCUCUCUCUCUCUCUCUCUGAAUCUUUUUUGAGUCUCUUUCUCUCUCCUCUGCCUCGUCUUCUUUUUAUUUUUCCCCCUUGUGAUGGUUUUUGCAAGUUUGUUUUAAAAAGUUCACAGGCAGGCGUUCUUCCCCCCCCCCCCCCACUCCCCGGUAGACGCAGAGACCGUGAUCUCACCCCGAUGGUAAGAUCAAAAAGUCUCCGCUCGCCCCCAGUCUGCGGGCUUGGGCUGGGGCCAGACGCCUCCCUGCAUGCAGAUGUGCCGCCGCCGGCCUCCCCGGUUAUAAAGCCGCUUCCAGCGCUUUCUGGCGCAGGAGCGCUCGGAGUUGCGGGUUGCGGAACCGGGAGGUGUUGGGGAGCCGGGCUGCGGCUGGGAUCUCGAACUGGGCGCGUGUGGGGUGCUGUGCUCGGGAGCGGGGACGCGCCGUGCCAUUCGCCGCAGAGGCCGGAGUGACUGCCCUUCCAAGGCCGGCGAGAAGCGGCCACGGGGCGUGAAACGCUUCUUGCGAACGAGGAAACGAAAGGGAAGAUGAGACCUGGACCAUUGGAGAAUGGCUGCAGGAUCUCAUGGCUGUCAGAAGAGAGAACUCAGGUUUGAACCAGCUCCUGCCCUCCACACUGCAAAGCUGGAGGAGCCUACAUACAGAACUCAGAGCCUGAGAGUGUGCUUGGUACUCUCAGGGCCCAGGCACUGCAUUUCUUCUCUUUCCCUCUCUCUCUCUGAAAGAAGUAAGAGGAAGAAUUGAUGAGAGAUGGUGUUUGCAGAGGUGAAGGAAAAGGUGCAUAAGAGGAGGGCCUUUCACAGGACUGGAAAGAUAGCUCAUCAGGUAGGAAGCCUGUCUUGUUAUAUCUGCAAACCAAAUGUGAGUCCCAGUAACCACAUGGCAGGUGCUAUGGAACCAGAAGAAGCUCCAUUAUUGUGUCUUUUCCUCUUUCUGUUUCUGUCAAUUUGAGUGAAAUUGUGGCUCAGACCAAUGGGUGAGUUUACAACUCUAUCCAAGCUAAGAAGAAAAGAAAAAGAAAGGAAAAAAGAAAGAAAGGAAGGAAGGAAGAAAGAGAGAGAGAAAGAAAGACAGGAAGAAAGAAAGAAAAAGAAAGAAAGAAAGAAAGAAAGAAAGAAAGAAAGAAAGAAAGAAAGAAAGAAAGAAAGAAAGAAGCGCAGGUGGCGCAAAGCACAAGGACGGGCAUAAGGAUCCCGGUUCGAACCCCGGCUCCCCACCUGCAGGGGAGUCGCUUCACAGGCGGUGAAGCAGGUCUGCAGGUGUCUAUCUUUCUCUCCUCCUCUCUGUCUUCCCCUUCCUCUCUCCAUUUCUCUCUGUCCUAUCCAACAACGACAACAACAAUAAUAACUACAACAAUAAAACAACAAGGGCAACAAAAGGGAAUAAAUAAAAUAAAUUAAAAAAAAAAAAAAAAGAAAGAAAGAAAGAAAGAAAGAAAGAAAGAAAGAAAGAAAGAAAGGGAAAGAGGGGUUGGGCGGUAGUGCAGUGGGUUAAGCACACGUGGUACAAAGCGCAGGGACCAGCUAAGGAUCCUGGUUCAAGCCCCCAGCUCCCCACCUGCAGGGGAGUCACUUCACAGGUGGUGAAGCAGGUCUGCAGGUGUCUGUCUUUUUCUCCCCCUCUCUCUGUCUUCCCCUCCUCUCUCCAAUUCUCUCUGUCCUAUCCAACAAUAAACGACAUCAUCAAUAAUAAUCACAACAAGGCUACAACAACAAGGGAAACAAAAGGGGAAAAAAUGGCCUCCAGGACCAGUGGAUUCAUGGUGCAGACACUGAGCCCCAGCAAUAACCUGGAGGCAAAAAAAGAAGAAAGAAAGAAAGAGAGAGAGAGAGAAAGAAAGAACAAGAAAGAGAGAAAGAGAAUUGAAGGAUUAUCAUAACAAGGGAUUAAAGACCAUGGGAUAACAAUUGGCUUCUAAAAGCCAUAAGGACUUAAGGGACUCAAGAAUUCAGAGCUGUGACUUGCAGAAGACCACAGGGUGGUGACCAGGGGUGACAUGCUCAAACCUGCUCUUUCUUCUCCAGUUAUCUGACUAGGGCUUCAGUUUGGAUAAACCCCACCAGAAACUUGUUGCAAAGGUUGCAUGGAGACUGCCAUUCAGGUCAGAGCCUUAGGACACAGCAGCAGGGAGCUGCCAGGGCUGGGAGGCACAAUCUAGCCCAGGUGCAGUAUAUUGCUACAGUGUAUUGCUCUGUGCUGGUGGGCAGAGGAACUCUAACCAGCCACUGUCCUCAAGGACCUUAGAGUUUAUGGAAGAGUCUUAGGUCAAGUAAGAUGCCCUAGUCUUUGGGACUCAGAGAUCCACUAGGUACAAAAUUAUACAGGUGGGCUGGAAAAAAGGAAGUCUGGGUUUGCACUGCAUAGUUGCCACUUGAAAGGGGGUGGCUCGAUGUGUCUUUCCACCUGAAGCCAUCUACAACACUCAGCACACUCGUGGGAUAGGCUCUUUUGCCUUGAGUCAGGAUAUGUAUAAGCUUCUGCUAUCAAAACCUUUGCAAAAAAUAGUUAGGGCCAGGCAGGGGCACAUCUAAUUGAGUGUGCAUGUUAUACUGUGCAAGGACCCAGGUUCAAGCCCCUGGUCUCCACCUACCAGGGGGAAGCUUCACAAGUGGCAAAGCAGGGCUGCAAGUGUCUCUCUCUACUUCCUCCUGCCCUCUCAAUUUCUCUAUCUCUACCAAUAAAUAAAAAGUAGAUAUUUAAAAGUUGUUUAUAAAUAAAUAAAUAAGUAACAUUUAAUAAAAAUGAAGGAAUAAUAAUCAUUAUAGCUGGUUGUGGCUGGUUGAACUCACAGUAGCUUUCAUUGUGUGUUACAGUGCUAUUGUACAGGCAGUCUUGACCUUUCGCUUGUUUAUUUAACAUCCUCAGGGUGUCUUGCCAUGUUCUAAUAAAAAAUCUUUAUCAAACA
Long non-coding RNA from Erinaceus europaeus (western European hedgehog), 2971 nucleotides. RefSeq lists it as uncharacterized. NCBI's taxonomy places the organism in Eukaryota, Metazoa, Chordata, Mammalia, Eulipotyphla, Erinaceidae. The record is from RefSeq and is a predicted model, not a curated record. The transcript has 2 exons.